Molecule: non-coding RNA, 125 nt
Organism: Triticum aestivum (bread wheat)
Lineage: Eukaryota; Viridiplantae; Streptophyta; Magnoliopsida; Poales; Poaceae
Source: Rfam
AAUGUACUCCCUCCGUCCGGAAAUACUUGUCAAAGGAAUGAAUGUAUCUAGACGUAUUUUAAUUCUAGAUACAUUAAUUUUUAUGCAUUUCUCCGACAAGUAUUUUCGGACGGAAGGAGUAUAAA